Molecule: long non-coding RNA, 903 nt
Organism: Notolabrus celidotus (New Zealand spotty)
Lineage: Eukaryota; Metazoa; Chordata; Actinopteri; Labriformes; Labridae
Exons: 3
Source: RefSeq, a predicted model, not a curated record
AAUAUAUUUAACUAAUAACAGAAUGUUAAAGAUCCUACUACCAGGGGAGGAAGGAGGACAUCUGCAGCAGUUUACCUGAAGUUAUGAUGAAGCUGCAGGUUGGGGGCCGAUGAUGUGGCUUGGCUCAUUGUGCCGAUAAUGUAAGGGCUGAAAGAAAAGAGAACACCGGUUAUUAUUAUUCUCAGCAGGCCAAUAUUGUGCAGAAGUGUGUGAGACUUUGGGUGACUCUGUAAAUGUGUGUGUGCGUGUGGACUGACCUGUGUUGGUAGUUGCAGUUGAAGACCCCAUUGAAGAUCUCUCCCAGCGAGCUGACAUGAUGCAGGUUGUCCAAAAUGACCACUAGAGGGCUCUCUGCACCUGCAACACCGCUGCACUGCUCAGCCAGACCUGACAGGUACUGACGCAACUCCUACAGAGAGAGAUGGAGAGAGAAAGAGAGAGAGUAAGAUGCUUUCAAUGCCAGUACGUUUUCAUUGCUCAUGAUAAAGACACUUGAGCAACAUCCAGUCUAACAAUCUAUCCAAAGGGACUUACUUAACAGAACUCUGGUAUGCUUACCUUGCUGGACUUGUGGUCCACGUUGAAAGUGACGACAGCGUGUGGGGUCACAGGUCGACCGUCCAGCAGCAGCAGGUGUCGAGACAGCUGAUUGGCCAGGUAGCCGCAGGGCAGCAGCUCGGGCGUCUGAGCAGCCCGGGGGCUGCUGGGCCGGUGGAUUUCUCCAAUGUUGUAUCCCUCCACGCUGUCUGAGCUCAGGCCCAGCUGGCUCACUGGGUCCACAUGGUCUGUUCAUGGUUACCUUGAAAAGGCGUCUAACCACUCCAUCCAGGACAUCCCACUUGGUUUUUCCGCUCACACCGAUGCAACCAAUGAGAAAAUGGCGAGUUCGACCCUCCUGUGACA